CUAAUGACACCAGCAUCUGCCAACAGUUCAAAUAUUCGUACAAGUUGAACACGUAAAAUAUCUCGACGCCUGCGUCGUUUCAUAUUCUAUUGGAGAACAGAGAGCAGUACAGUGAAACUACAUCCAUACCUGCCAGUAAAUGUGCAGAAUAUAAUGAUUACCUAAAAGCACCUGGACUGGUCCUGCCAAGGCCCAGCACAAGGGAUUCUGUGAUUUCCAUGCUCUCAGAGCGCAUCAUUGGAACAAUGUGCUUAAACAAGGACGAAGGGGACGGAACACCAAUUAUCUGAGAACAGAAAAACAGCAUCAAUACUCACAAUUAAAUGUGAUCUCUGGAUUUCUAUAUCAUAUUAUGAAGGAAAACAAAUGGUCAAGAAAAGGGAGUCAAGGAUGCAAAAAAAGAGACCAAAAGCUCUUCAAUUUUCAUUUAAAUGGAAUUGUGGAAAUUACACUCGCUCUUUCCCUCAA
Anolis carolinensis (green anole) is the source of this 468-nucleotide long non-coding RNA. RefSeq lists it as uncharacterized. The record is from RefSeq and is a predicted model, not a curated record. NCBI's taxonomy places the organism in Eukaryota, Metazoa, Chordata, Lepidosauria, Squamata, Anolidae. The transcript has 2 exons.